RNAcentral lists this unclassified non-coding RNA (644 nucleotides) under Hypericum japonicum. RNAcentral describes it as "sequence contains ITS1, 5.8S rRNA gene, ITS2". The stretch from base 254 to 409 matches the Rfam family "5.8S ribosomal RNA". The record is from RNAcentral. Lineage: Eukaryota; Viridiplantae; Streptophyta; Magnoliopsida; Malpighiales; Hypericaceae.
UCGAAACUUGCAAAAGACCCGUGAACUAGUUAUCAAACGUGUGGGGAGUGUUGGGAGACAUCCCUUGGCUCCUUCGUGCCAGUGGUGGGUAAUUGUGUCGUUAUACCGGCAUGAUUGACCAGCAUCUGGACAAACUAACCAACCCCGGCGCGGCAUGCGCCAAGGAACUUCGCAAUAAAUGUGGAAACGCUACCGGCCGUUCCGAAAAUCGGAUAAGGCGGCCGUGUUGUGGACCACUUGUUCAUUACAAAACGACUCUCGGCAACGGAUAUCUAGGCUCUUGCAUCGAUGAAGAACGUAGCGAAAUGCGAUACUUGGUGUGAAUUGCAGAAUCCCGUGAACCAUCGAGUCUUUGAACGCAAGUUGCGCCCGAAGCCUCUUGGCCAAGGGCACGUCUGCCUGGGUGUCACACAUCGUCCCCACCGAAACAAAUACUCCUUGUAGGUGUUUGGUAAGAGGAUGGGCGGAUAAUGGUCUCCCGUGCGCGGUUGCUCGCGGUUGGCCUAAAAAUUAAGUUCCUGGUGAUAGCAAAGCCAUGACCAGCGGUGGUUGAAAGACCCUCGAUGGGUGUCGUGAGGACUUGCAUCGCAUGUUGGGAGAUUCUGACCUUGAUCGUGUUUGAGCACAUAUCAAACACUCAUGAA